CGCAAGGCCCCGGGUUCGGUCCCUAGCUCCGAAAAAAAGUUAAAAGAAAAAAUAGACAACUAAAAUACGUCCUAGUUUACAGCACUUACUCUCAAACACCUUCUAUCUAACUAUUGUUAGAGCUACCCAGCAUAAAGACAAAGCAGUCAGAUAACCUGAGAUGCUAAAAAGUAAAAGAGUUACUUCUAACUUUAAACAGUUAUUAUUCCCCGGAGGGGGUGCACCGUUCCUGGAGGUACUGCAAUACCAGGUCGAUGCGUGGAGUGGACGGAGCAAGCUCCUAUUCCAACUCCUAGUUCCAAAAAUCCAUUUAAUAUAUUGUCCUCGGAUAGAGGACGUAUCAGAUAUUAAACUGAUAAGAACAGAUACUACACUUGAUCUUAGCCAAAAGGCCGAGAAGCGAUGCCUGGCACCCAGCACGCAGCCAAGCUCUGCGUCCGCAAGACACAUUUACUUCGUGGUGACCGCCCGAAAAAAAACCCUCACUUCCUGCCUUUCUCACGGCCCCCUCCUCCUUCCGUUCGCCCCCGCAUCCUUCACCCCUCACUCCCUCUCCAGUACCCACAGCUUCACUACAAUUCCCACGAUCGCGGCUCUCCCGGCGUUCCCGCGCGCGCACGCGGACUCUGAUUUACAUGUCCCGCCCCCUCGCGAGGGGCGUGGCGACACCGAUGCCUGCUGACUGCUGCCUCUGAGCCGCGUUCAGGAGUUUUGGGAACAUUUUUACUUUGGUCUCCAAGGAGGAAGGCUGCGGCAUUGUGGUGGGCAAUGCUCUAGAGGAGACGCGGUGGCGGAUGGUGGCAGAAAGGGGCACACCUACUGUUCCUAGUUUGCGUUUGAGUGAGCUGGCAGACGAGCUUCUCCGAUCCGCGGAAGGUCAACUUCCGAGUCGAGAGGGCAGCGCGGGGAUAUAGAAUCCCGCGGACUCCGAGGGGUUCAAUCCCACCGGGCACUGCGGCUGCGCGCCGUCACCCCUCCCCGCCCCCAACUUCGAGACUGACUCCGUUCUCUCCCCUCCCUAUCCUGGUCACUUAGCGACCGCAUGGGUGUCUCCGCCUCCCGCGGCUCCUGCGCCUGCCCAAAUUAGAUAUGGUCCCGGUAUUUUACCUAGUCUUGCUAGUAGAAGUGGGGCAGGCUCCGGGAAAAUGCUUUGUAUUCACGAUCCUCAGAUAUUCACAAACCCAGGAUGCUGGAAAACAAUGGCUGAGUGGUUAGGAGCACUUGUAUGCUCUUGCAGGAUCCAGAUUCAAACCUGUUGACUGACUGAGCUGGCUUGGUCACCGAUCUGAGUAAAAACUUACACAGUUUCCUUGUGAUGACUAAAGAGACAAUAUGGAGCCAGGCAUCCCAUAAGAGCCGUGGACUUUUUGAUCAGGAGUGCCAGAGAUCCUAGUGGCCUGCAGGGGUCCAGACCCACCGGUUGAGAACUGCUGCAUGAGACCUUUACAGUCCCAAGAAGAAGGUGGAGGGGAAUUUGAUAAUACAGUCCUGUGAUCCUACCACGUGGGCAGUGGAGGUGUAAUGGGAUCCGGUGCCCUCUUCCGGUGUGCAUGAAGAGCAGUCA
RNAcentral lists this small RNA (1564 nucleotides) under Rattus norvegicus (Norway rat). Its description in RNAcentral is "uncharacterized LOC108351947". Lineage: Eukaryota; Metazoa; Chordata; Mammalia; Rodentia; Muridae. The record is from RNAcentral.